GACGAACGCUGGCGGCGUGCUUAACACAUGCAAGUCGAGCGAGAGAAAUUCCCUCGGGAAGGACUCUAGCGGCGGACGGGUGAGUAACACGUGGGUAACCUGCCUCAUAGAGGGGAAUAGCCUUUCGAAAGGAAGAUUAUACCGCAUAAGAUUGUAGUAUCGCAUGAUGCAGCAAUUAAAGGAGUAAUCCGCUAUGAGAUGGACCCGCGUCGCAUUAGCUAGUUGGUGAGGUAACGGCUCACCAAGGCGACGAUGGGUAGCCGACCUGAGAGGGUGAUCGGCCACAUUGGGACUGAGACACGGCCCAGACUCCUACGGGAGGCAGCAGUGGGGAAUAUUGCACAAUGGGGGAAACCCUGAUGCAGCAACGCCGCGUGAGUGAUGACGGUCUUCGGAUUGUAAAACUCUGUCUUCAGGGACGAUAAUGACGGUACCUGAGGAGGAAGCCACGGCUAACUACGUGCCAGCAGCCGCCGUAA
Molecule: ribosomal RNA, 479 nt
Filed under: uncultured bacterium
Lineage: Bacteria
Description: partial 16S ribosomal RNA
Rfam family: Bacterial small subunit ribosomal RNA
Source: RNAcentral